Molecule: long non-coding RNA, 809 nt
Organism: Strongylocentrotus purpuratus (purple sea urchin)
Lineage: Eukaryota; Metazoa; Echinodermata; Echinoidea; Camarodonta; Strongylocentrotidae
Exons: 4
Source: RefSeq, a predicted model, not a curated record
CAACGACCUUAUCUGUGACAACAGUAACACUAACAGCUAGGCAACUUCGGUGCUGGACACGGUUAUCUGUAGAAAUCCUGAAAUAUACAGAGUGUAUUACCAUAUGCUUGCUUCUUUGAGUAUGUGCCUGAAACAAGAAUGUCCUGGAGAAAAAGGACCACAACAAGAAAAGAGAUGGAGAGGAAGGGCUUGCUGUUGAGAGAUCAUGGGGUGCCUUGAGGUUCCACUUCCAGUCUUGAUGUUCUGCCCCUUACCUCUAAGCGAUGGCCUCUUGUGCCUGGCAAUAUAUGAGCGAAGCACAAUGGACUGGUGCCUGUACAUGUAAUGUAUUUCAUGCAAAUGAAGAGUAGAAUGAGAAGCUCACAAUGAUAUGGUAGACAAGGACCUUGCUGUCUAAAGCUCGGAGGCCAGAUGACAGUGUCUGAAGUAAGUCGCCCCAUAGAAGAGCGAGAACUUUCUGUUGCAAUUGUUAACAUGCAACACAUCCUUACCACAUGCAACCCAUCCCACUUUCACAAUAUAUUUUCUUAACAACAGUAACCCAAGUUCAACGUUUGGAUUGGUGAUUUUAAACAUAAAAACAAUGGUCUGAAUGUUUAAUUAGAUCUUUUACGCAAACGUAGUAUAUUAGUAAUGAAAGGCAUGUUUGGUAAUACAGUAAUUUCAUUUCAGACCAUGAAGACCAUGUAUUAUUAUAAUUAUCUGGGAUCUGUCGUUGGGCUGAUAAGCAUGGAAAAUAAGGAAUGUACUCCUGUCGAACGAACAAUAUGUUUUUAUAAAACGAAUAACUCUUUGAAGAUUACUUACUA